UUCUGGGGCUGGGAAAAUGACCACUGUCACAUUCCUCCCAUCCUCUGAAAAUCCUAGGACCUGCAGUAUUGAGCAAAGCUUUGAAGGAGCCGGCUGGUGGAUCUCCACUCCGGAUUUUCCAGCUGUCCCUGUCCCCCCACCGCUCAGAGAGCAGGAUGCUGAGAUGGUUCGGUGAUGCAGAAGGUAUGUGCUUUUUCAGUUCUGGUGCUGAUGCUGUGUGUGUGGUGAGGUCUCUGUGGCGCAAUGGACGAGCGCGCUGGACUUCUAAUCCAGAGGUUCCGGGUUCGAGUCCCGGCAGAGAUGGUCACCUGGCAGGUGAACCCUGGAAACCGGAGAGGACAAGUUUCCCUGACUGCUCGAGAGUCAGCAUCUCUUCCACGUGGGACACCAGAUGAGGGACCAGAGAGAACAGAGCCGUACACUGGCACUCCGAGGGAGCUGAGGUGAGGUUCGUCCAGAGAGGGCCCAGUGCGGCGAGGGAGUAGAUUCUGGUGAGUUCACAAAGGAGUGAGAGGUGAGCAAGCGGAGGUAAGGAGCAUAGAAAAUUAAAAUACUUGUCGAGAAAUGGACUUUGAGGGUAGGGUGUGGGGUAAGGUGAAGAGAGAAGGCGCAGGAGGGAUGUUGUCCGUUGGAUUUUUUUUUUUUUUUGGGAUGUAGAAUGUUUGGAAAUGUUUAAAUGCCCUUGGAAAUUAUCUCAUAAAUAAAGAAAGACUGAAG
RNAcentral lists this transfer RNA (717 nucleotides) under Fukomys damarensis (Damara mole-rat). RNAcentral describes it as "lncRNA (ENSFDAG00000023445.1)". The stretch from base 230 to 303 matches the Rfam family "tRNA". Lineage: Eukaryota; Metazoa; Chordata; Mammalia; Rodentia; Bathyergidae. The record is from RNAcentral.